UACGUAGGCAGCGAGCGUUGUUCGGAAUUACUGGGCGUAAAGAGUGUGUAGGCGGUGCUCUAAGUUCGGUGUGAAAUCUCCCGGCUUAACUGGGAGGGUGCAGCGGAAACUAGAGUGCUAGAGGGUGGGAGAGGUAAGCGGAAUUCCUGGUGUAGCGGUGAAAUGCGUAGAUAUCAGGAGGAACACCUGUGGUGUAGACAGCUUACUGGACCACUUCUGACGCUGAGACACGAAAGCGUGGGUAGCAAACAGG
Molecule: ribosomal RNA, 253 nt
Filed under: uncultured bacterium
Lineage: Bacteria
Description: partial 16S ribosomal RNA
Rfam family: Bacterial small subunit ribosomal RNA
Source: RNAcentral